GCGCUGCGCAUGUAAAACGAAUUUUUACUGACGCCGUCACCGGGGAGUAUAAAACCGGAGGCCCCGGCGAGGCCGCCGGUCCCGAGGGGAGGAGGCUGUACCGCACUUAAAUGCGAGCGUAACCAACUACGGUCUCCCCGUCCCGGCGAGGAACAACAGGGAGGAGGCGAAGCGGAAAUGGGGCUCCGCCACCGCGCCUCCUCGCUCCUGCUGCUAUCCCUGGCUCUCGGGCUCGCCGUCGCGCUCGUCUCAGUGUCGGCGCAGCAGAAGUUCGGGAUCAACUACGGGCAGAUCGCCAACGACCUGCCGGACCCGACGCGGGUGGCGGGGCUCCUCCAGUCGAUGAACGUGAACAAGGUGAAGCUCUACGACGCGGACCCCAGGGUGCUGACGGCCUUCGCCAACACCGGCGUCGAGUUCAUCAUCGCCGUGGGCAACGAGAACCUGCAGACCAUGGCCGCCAGCCCCGCCGCGGCGCGCCAGUGGGUGGCCACGCACGUGCAGCCCUACAUCCCGGCCACGCGCGUCACCUGCGUCACCGUCGGCAACGAGGUCUUCUCCAGCAACGACAACGUCAUGAUGUCCAGCCUCCUCCCCGCCAUGAAGGCCGUCUACGCCGCGCUCGGCGACCUGGGCCUCGGCAGCCAGGUCACCGUGUCGUCGGCGCACUCCGUGAACGUGCUCGCCACCAGCUUCCCGCCGUCGUCGGGCGCGUUCCGGGAGGACCUCGCCGAGUACAUCCAGCCGAUCCUCGACUUCCACGGCCAGACGGGCUCGCCGUUCCUCAUCAACGCCUACCCGUUCUUCGCCUACAAGGCCAACCCCGGCAGCGUGUCGCUGCCGUACGUGCUGUUCGAGCCCAACCCGGGCGUGCGCGACCCCAACACCAACCUCAGCUACGACAACAUGCUCUACGCCCAGAUCGACGCCGUGUACGCGGCGAUGAAGGCCAUGGGGCACACGGACGUGGGCGUCAGGAUCUCCGAGACCGGGUGGCCGUCCAAGGGCGACGAGGACGAGACCGGCGCCACCGUGCAGAACGCCGCGGCGUACAACGGGAACCUCAUGCAGAGGAUCGCCAUGAACCAGGGGACGCCGCUCAAGCCCAACGUGCCCAUCGACGUCUACGUGUUCGCGCUGUUCAACGAGGACAUGAAGCCGGGGCCGACGUCGGAACGGAACUACGGGCUGUUCUACCCCAACGGCUCGCCGGUGUACGCGAUCAACGCCGGCUCCGGCUCCGGCUCCGGCUCCGGCGGGUCGCUGAACCCGUACUACACGUCCAUGUUCUCCUCCUCGUCCAAAUUGGCGAUAACGUUUCCGACGGGGGUGGUUGUCCUGCUCGCCGCAUUAUUCCUGUGACUGAGCUUCCUCCACCCGUACCACCCAGAGGGAAAGGCGCGCAGAUCAUUGGCGGCUUCCCUUCCGACUGACGCAAUCCGGCCUGAGUUGUCAUCGCCACCCAUCACUGCCGGCGGCGCCCGGCGGGUGUAUUGCCGUCACUAAUGUCAGCGAGGAUGGACAGUUUGUUGUUCUGUAUAGACGUUAUGGUCUGUGAUGUGCCUGCACUGACCGUGGAGGAAGGGUGCUAGAUAGGUGAGUCACAUGUACUAAUGUAGUAGCUAGCUUGCCCAUGUACUUGUUAUUGCUAAUGAUCAGCUCUAGGGAAGCCACUUCCAAGCAUCAAAGAACAAAACGAAUUGUGUGGAAAGAAGUGGCUGUUCGAAUCUGGUGGUUUUGCAGCGGCAAGCACAUGAGUUGUUGUACUUGUACCUGUUUAUUUCUGUUCUUCUUGUUGAGGUUAUUGUAUUUAUUCAAUUUUAUUGUUCUCAUUUAGUU
Panicum virgatum (switchgrass) is the source of this 1839-nucleotide RNA transcript. It is a transcript of the gene named glucan endo-1,3-beta-glucosidase 14-like, with no coding region annotated. The transcript has 5 exons. The record is from RefSeq and is a predicted model, not a curated record. NCBI's taxonomy places the organism in Eukaryota, Viridiplantae, Streptophyta, Magnoliopsida, Poales, Poaceae.